GGCUGAAGUGUGAGAUUUUUUUUUCAAUUUUUGCUGCUUCUUUGGGCUUAAUGUGUUACAAAAUAUAUCAAGACAGUCAAGAUAACACUAGCCAAGAAACGAUAAGGUGCUGCUUGGAUAUUGUUUAGUACUAUUUAAGUAUUAAGGAAGUAAUAGAGAAGUUUUGAGAUGAUGGCCAAUGUUUUUUUCAUGGUUUUGUUUGUCCUUUCAACAUGCUGGGGUAAGACGUCGAAGGUUACACUCAUAUUAUGCAAAGUCUAUAUUUUAGUUAUGAAUUUGUUAUCUUUAAAAAGAAAUGACAACUCAAUCAAUUUUAUUUCCACUUUGUAACACGAUAAAAUUUUAAGAAAUCCAAAGGGUCUACAUACUUUUGCAAGGCACUUUAUAUUGUUUUAUGUCCUGUGGAUUCGAGAAGAAAGAUGACAAGUUCAACAGGAAAGUGAGCCUGUCAGGUGAAUAUUCUCUGAACCAAACCAAACAUAGUGCGAAUGGAACCACUGGAACAACAGAUGGAAAAAAGCUUGAACUUCUUCGUUUUAUUCGACUGUCUAUCACGUGUCUGGGUUUGUCGAUCAUGCUCGUUCUCUCAUAUGCCAUCUUCACCCACCUUCACAAACUGAAGAUACACAGGACUAUGUCUCAACAGGAUGUGGUAGAACACCAGCCCGAGGUCUCUGGUAUGCGCGAGAAGAAAGUAGGCAGAGGGCACAGAAGCUACAAAGAGAAGAUCAACUCAAUCUACAUGUGCAUGCCUGACAAAUUACCAGCACAGGGAGCAGGACAUGACCUUUGACCUGGAAGUUCUCUAUCUGGAAGAUGAGCAUACACAUUCCCGCUGUGCUUUGGUCCAAUUCCUACACCGAACGUGACAGAACUACCCACCACCAACGGACCAAGCAGCGGGGUAAGGAGCAUGGUGAAGAAGAAUGGACAUGGGCAGAGAUGAGGAUGAGCAUAUCCAGGGCUAUGGAGGAUGUAAGGAAGACCGAGAGGCAUCCCCAAGAACAUUCUUUUGGGGGGGCACACGGGGAGUUGGGCAGAGUCAGGAUGGAGACCUGAGCCAACUCCCCGUGCUUAUUAUGGGGAGCAACGAAUGAGUGUCACCUCAGUCAUUCUUGCAACCAAAGUCCUUUGAGAUAUGUUCACCCUCUGGUUGGUAUUAUCUUCGGAACUAUUUAGUCCUUUUUAACAGACUAAGGGUGAUUUAUCUAGCGGACAAGCAUUCCAUACAACAUAAAUCAAGUAUUUCCUCAUUUACCACUGCAAAUCUACUGUGGCAAUUUACCAGACAUUUUGUAUGAAUGAAAACUUUUGGUGUAGCCUGUUAAUAUUUUUAUUUGUUUCCUAUUUAUGUUAGCCAUUAAAAUACUACUGUCUUUAAAAUAAAA
This 1388-nucleotide long non-coding RNA is filed under the name Salmo salar (Atlantic salmon). Its description in RNAcentral is "lncRNA (ENSSSAG00000115238.1)". The record is from RNAcentral. Lineage: Eukaryota; Metazoa; Chordata; Actinopteri; Salmoniformes; Salmonidae.